RNA transcript from Lutra lutra (Eurasian river otter), 1823 nucleotides. It is a transcript of the gene named LITAF domain containing, with no coding region annotated. The transcript is spliced from 3 exons. The record is from RefSeq and is a predicted model, not a curated record. NCBI's taxonomy places the organism in Eukaryota, Metazoa, Chordata, Mammalia, Carnivora, Mustelidae.
GUAAAGGCCCAGGGGAAGGAAGGAGGUGGUGGAUGCUGGAGAGGGUCGCCAUGGAAGGUAACAAAAAGCCCUGUGGACAAGUUUGGGACUUAGACAAUAGGGACAUCAGCGGACGAUUUUAAGGCAGGGGGUUGAUUUGAACCGAUUGUUUUUACAAGUUCCCUCUGGUUUCAGAGAGACGAGAGGAUUGGCGGGACCAGGCUGGAGGCGGAGACAGACAAAUAUAAAAAAAAGCAAGAAAAUAUACGACAGCAGCUAAUGCUUCUCCCGGGACUGGGUUAGCCUCCUCCUUUUAUUCUCUCGCACCCCGUUAUCAAAGAAGUUAUACCACUCAUGUACAAAUGGAGAAACUGAGGCGGGAGGCCUCCUCUUUUGCCGUGAGACACCUCCGCCAAGGGGAACGCAGGCCCUGCCUGGAACCGGCUGAUUUCCCCGUGCCCCCACCCACCCACCCACCCGACCCCAUACACCCAUCCACUCCAACCCCAGGAGAAGAUGCGGGGGCCGGGGACUUUCUUUUAAAAAAUCAAAAAACAGCGCUGCAUUUCCGGCCUGCGAACGGGCUGCCGGCGGGGCGCGCGGGGAGGGAGUCUGUGGGCGUGGGUGAAGUUUUUCUGCUCCGCCCUGAGGCCCCCCAUCCGGACACAAACACACGGACAGCGCCCCGCGGCUCCUCCUCCCCCAGAUGCGGCCAAUCGUGCGGCGCCAGGACGACUCCCUCCGCCCCAACAUCCCCCGCAACCCGGGUCCCACCGCCCGCGCCCGCCGCCCCGGCUGGGGUCCGCGCACCUCCCCGCUCCGCCCCGAGAGGCCCCCACUCGCGGUCCAGCCCACGGGCAAACCGAGGGGAGGCUGUCCCUGCACGCCGCAAGCGCUGCCGGACGUCCGCCCCAAAUCCCUCCGGCUGCGGCCACACCCGCCCCCUUCCCGGGGAUGAGUAACCUGCUCUCCCCAGACUGGCCGCGGCGGCCCGGGCAUCUCCUCCGGGCCUAGCGACCCAGCCCGGACCCCCACGCCGGCGGAGCCCCAUGCAAGAGGGGGCUGGAUGCGGGCGGCGGCCACAAGGCCACAAGGCGGCCGAGGUCCGGUCCGCGCUCCCGCCGCCCCGGAGAGGACACCCCGCCACACCCCUCUGGGGGACCCGGAGAAGCUCCCCUACCUGCGACCCGCUCCGCUUCGCCAGCAGCUCGGCUCUGACUGUGAGAGCUGAGGGGCCGGGAGGGGGCGUGGUCCGCGGGGCGGGGCUACCCGAGGCCCCGCCCCCAGGGCCCCCCAGCCAAUGGGGCGGCGGGCCGGACCGCCCGACGGCCUGGAAGCGCGCGCGCGCGGCUGCGCCGGCGGGAGUUUUGGGUCUGAGCGCGGGACCGGGGAGGGCGCGGGACGCCGGGCGGGCCGGGCAGCCGUGGGGAUGCCCGCCCGCGCAGCACCGCAGGUCGGAGAAGUCCCCUGAAGAGUGGAGGGCCUGUGCGGGUCCCGCCCGUAAGCACCCGCUGCGGGUCCGGCCCGAAGCUGACCUUCGCUCCCGAAUCCGGAAGGCCCCGGGCGCCUCCAUCUUGACGGAGAGAAAGAGCUCCGGGAACGGCGAGAAGGAACGAGAAGAGAGGAGAGGACACUGAGGCACAGAGAAGCGAUACCUCCCUGCCCCCACCUGGUCACAGCAAGUCGCAGCAAGAGGAGCCCCUUAAAAGCAAGCCCAGUGCUGGACCGAGGCUCAGACAGAGCUCACCGGAAGAGCGUUUGGAGCAGGAACAGCAAGUGCAAAUGCCUAGGGGCAGGAUGGAAUAGGACAGAACAGAAGCAUGCAGAAGGGAUCAGACAACAAG